UACGGAAGGCAGCAGUGGGGAAUAUUGCACAAUGGGCGAAAGCCUGAUGCAGCUAUGCCGCGUGUAUGAAGAAGGCCUUAGGGUUGUAAAGUACUUUCAUCGGGGAGGAAAAAACAAAACUAAUAAUUUUAUUUCUUGACGUUACCCGAAAAAGAAGCACCGGCUAACUCCGUGCCAGCAGCCGCGGUAAUACGGAGGGUGCUAGCGUUAAUCAGAAUUACUGGGCGUAAAGAGCACGUAGGUGGUUUUUUUAAGUCAGAUGUGAAAUCCCUGGGCUUAACCUAGGAACUGCAUUUGAAACUGAAAUACUAGAGUAUCGUAGAGGGAGGUAGAAUUCUAGGUGUAGCGGUGAAAUGCGUAGAUAUCUGGAGGAAUACCUGUGGCGAAAGCGGCCUCCUAAACGAACUACUGACACUGAGGGUGCGAAAGCGUGGGGAGCAAACAGGGAUUAGAUACC
RNAcentral lists this ribosomal RNA (457 nucleotides) under uncultured bacterium. Its description in RNAcentral is "bacterial SSU rRNA". It matches the Rfam family "Bacterial small subunit ribosomal RNA", at positions 340 to 786 of the family's 1533-position model. The record is from RNAcentral.